CCUGAAACAGCCAGUUUCACCACCUUCAUCCAGCUCCAGCUCCUCCUGAAACAGCCAGUUUCACCACCUUCAUCCAGCUCCAGCUUCUCCUUAAACAGCUG
Stegastes partitus (bicolor damselfish) is the source of this 101-nucleotide long non-coding RNA. RefSeq lists it as uncharacterized. NCBI's taxonomy places the organism in Eukaryota, Metazoa, Chordata, Actinopteri, Pomacentridae. The record is from RefSeq and is a predicted model, not a curated record. The transcript has 3 exons.